AAUCGUACCCCAAACCGACACAGGUGGUCAGGUAGAGAAUACCAAGGCGCUUGAGAGAACUCGGGUGAAGGAACUAGGCAAAAUGGUGCCGUAACUUCGGGAGAAGGCACGCUGGCAUGUAGGUGAAGUCCUUCGCGGAUGGAGCUGAAGCCAGUCGAAGAUACCAGCUGGCUGCAACUGUUUAAUAAAAACACAGCACUGUGCAAACACGAAAGUGGACGUAUACGGUGUGACGCCUGCCCGGUGCUGGAAGGUUAAUUGAUGGGGUCAGCCGCAAGGCGAAGCUCUUGAUCGAAGCCCCAGUAAACGGCGGCCGUAACUAUAACGGUCCUAAGGUAGCGAAAUUCCUUGUCGGGUAAGUUCCGACCUGCACGAAUGGCGUAAUGAUGGCCAGGCUGUCUCCACCCGAGACUCAGUGAAAUUGAACUCGCUGUGAAGAUGCAGUGUACCCGCGGCAAGACGGAAAGACCCCGUGAACCUUUACUAUAGCUUGACACUGAACAUUGAGCCUUGAUGUGUAGGAUAGGUGGGAGGCUUUGAAGCGUGGACGCCAGUCUGCGUGGAGCCAUCCUUGAAAUACCACCCUUUAAUGUUUGAUGUUCUAACUCGGCCCCAUAAUCUGGGGUGAGGACAGUGUCUGGUGGGUAGUUUGACUGGGGCGGUCUCCUCCCAAAGAGUAACGGAGGAGCACGAAGGUUAGCUAAUCACGGUCGGACAUCGUGAGGUUAGUGCAAAGGCAUAAGCUAGCUUGACUGCGAGAGUGACGGCUCGAGCAGGUACGAAAGUAGGUCUUAGUGAUCCGGUGGUUCUGAAUGGAAGGGCCAUCGCUCAACGGAUAAAAGGUACUCCGGGGAUAACAGGCUGAUACCGCCCAAGAGUUCAUAUCGACGGCGGUGUUUGGCACCUCGAUGUCGGCUCAUCACAUCCUGGGGCUGAAGUAGGUCCCAAGGGUAUGGCUGUUCGCCAUUUAAAGUGGUACGCGAGCUGGGUUUAGAACGUCGUGAGACAGUUCGGUCCCUAUCUGCCGUGGGCGUUGGAAGAUUGAGAGGGGUUGCUCCUAGUACGAGAGGACCGGAGUGAACGCACCACUGGUGUUCGGGUUGUCAUGCCAAUGGCAUUGCCCGGUAGCUAAGUGCGGAAAAGAUAAGCGCUGAAAGCAUCUAAGCGCGAAACUUGCCUCAAGAUGAGUCUUCCCUGGGCCUUUAAGGCCCCUGAAGGAACGUUUAAGACUAAGACGUUGAUAGGCUGGGUGUGUAAGUGCAGCGAUGCAUUGAGCUAACCAGUACUAAUGAUCCGUGAGGCUUAACCUU
Molecule: ribosomal RNA, 1310 nt
Filed under: Serratia marcescens
Lineage: Bacteria; Pseudomonadati; Pseudomonadota; Gammaproteobacteria; Enterobacterales; Yersiniaceae
Description: partial 23S ribosomal RNA
Rfam family: Bacterial large subunit ribosomal RNA
Source: RNAcentral